Molecule: transfer RNA, 61 nt
Filed under: Dipodomys ordii (Ord's kangaroo rat)
Lineage: Eukaryota; Metazoa; Chordata; Mammalia; Rodentia; Heteromyidae
Rfam family: tRNA
About the family: Transfer RNA (tRNA) molecules are approximately 80 nucleotides in length.
Source: Rfam by way of RNAcentral
GUGGCUCAGUGGAUAGAGUGCUUGCCUUGCAUGCAUGAGGGCCUGGGUUCAAUUCCUCAGC